AAUGAUGCAGACUGCGAAAAAGUUUUUCAUUUCAGAACCUGCCUUAAUAUUGGGCUAAAAGACAAGUUUCACGGUAUAGGGUGUGAUAUAACGAUUACAUAAACGAAGCCCAAAAAACGGUCUAUUGUAACGCUGGGUUUUCUGUAAGCGGGUAAAAAAUGAGAUGAAGAUUUUAAAUAACAAUACGAUAAUCGUCGGUAUGGAAAUCCAUCUCCUCGCCAAAUUGCCCAACGUAUGCCAGCCCCACGUACGGUUUCACUUCUACGUUAUGUAACGGGUAGUGUGAGAUGGUGCGAUGCUGUAAGAAAAAGAUGAAGAUGAAUUUGUACCUGUCCUGGAUAAAGCCCGUUAUCCAGGAAUAACGGGCAAAAAUAUUUACUCAAGUGCCUGGGCGAGAUCUUGUUGUACCUGUUGACGCUGUUCUGGUGUUAAGACUUUGCUUAAAUCAAAAUAAUAUUUAACCCGAUAAUAGCGAGCCUGUUGUUCUAUGUUACUGAAGGCUGCAAGCUGCUGUUUUACGGCGGCGUCAUCCCAUUUACCGGAUUUAAUCACCUCUAUCAGCGCACCGUCUUUAAUUCCCUUCAUAGAAAUCUGACUGACGUCGGUUUCCAGUUGUUGGUGAAGUUUUUUGAUCCGGGUAAUCUGAUCGUUUGUCAGCUUCAGAUGCUGGACAAUAGGAUCCUGGGCGGGCAGGGGAGGAUUGGGGACAGCGGUGGCGAAAGCGCCAAAAGAAACGCCCGCCAGAGUCGCUGCCAGUAAAGUUGUGCGUACAAAGUUUUUCAUGAAGAUAUCCUGAUAAGGGAGUGAUUAACCGUUUUUAUUACCCACGAAUGGCGAGCAAUUAUCUUAGAGCCUAUCCCAUUAGGGCUAUUUUACUUGCCAUUUUGGACCUGGGCAGUGCUCGCCAAAACGCGUUAGCGUUUUGGUUGGGUAGGGGAGCGUUCUGUAAGCCUGUGAAGGUGGCCUGUGAGGGUUGCUGGAGGUAUCAGAAGUGCGAAUGCUGACAUAAGUAACGAUAAAGCGGGUGAAAAGCCCGCUCGCCGGAAGACCAAGGGUUCCUGUCCAACGUUAAUCGGGGCAGGGUGAGUCGACCCCUAAGGCGAGGCCGAAAGGCGUAGUCGAUGGGAAACGGGUUAAUAUUCCCGUACUUGGUGUUACUGCGAAGGGGGGACGGAGAAGGCUAUGUUGGCCGGGCGACGGUUGUCCCGGUUUAAGCGUGUAGGUGUGUGUUCCAGGUAAAUCCGGUUCACUUUAACACUGAGGCGUGAUGACGAGGCACUACGGUGCUGAAGCAACAAAUGCCCUGCUUCCAGGAAAAGCCUCUAAGCAUCAGGUAACAUCAAAUCGUACCCCAAACCGACACAGGUGGUCAGGUAGAGAAUACCAAGGCGCUUGAGAGAACUCGGGUGAAGGAACUAGGCAAAAUGGUGCCGUAACUUCGGGAGAAGGCACGCUGACAUGUAGGUGAAGUGAUUUACUCAUGGAGCUGAAGUCAGUCGAAGAUACCAGCUGGCUGCAACUGUUUAUUAAAAACACAGCACUGUGCAAACACGAAAGUGGACGUAUACGGUGUGACGCCUGCCCGGUGCCGGAAGGUUAAUUGAUGGGGUCAGCGCAAGCGAAGCUCCUGAUCGAAGCCCCGGUAAACGGCGGCCGUAACUAUAACGGUCCUAAGGUAGCGAAAUUCCUUGUCGGGUAAGUUCCGACCUGCACGAAUGGCGUAAUGAUGGCCAGGCUGUCUCCACCCGAGACUCAGUGAAAUUGAACUCGCUGUGAAGAUGCAGUGUACCCGCGGCAAGACGGAAAGACCCCGUGAACCUUUACUAUAGCUUGACACUGAACAUUGAGCCUUGAUGUGUAGGAUAGGUGGGAGGCUUUGAAGCGUGGACGCCAGUCUGCAUGGAGCCGGCCUUGAAAUACCACCCUUUAAUGUUUGAUGUUCUAACGUGGACCCGUGAUCCGGGUUGCGGACAGUGUCUGGUGGGUAGUUUGACUGGGGCGGUCUCCUCCUAAAGAGUAACGGAGGAGCACGAAGGUUGGCUAAUCCUGGUCGGACAUCAGGAGGUUAGUGCAAUGGCAUAAGCCAGCUUGACUGCGAGCGUGACGGCGCGAGCAGGUGCGAAAGCAGGUCAUAGUGAUCCGGUGGUUCUGAAUGGAAGGGCCAUCGCUCAACGGAUAAAAGGUACUCCGGGGAUAACAGGCUGAUACCGCCCAAGAGUUCAUAUCGACGGCGGUGUUUGGCACCUCGAUGUCGGCUCAUCACAUCCUGGGGCUGAAGUAGGUCCCAAGGGUAUGGCUGUUCGCCAUUUAAAGUGGUACGCGAGCUGGGUUUAGAACGUCGUGAGACAGUUCGGUCCCUAUCUGCCGUGGGCGCUGGAGAACUGAGGGGGGCUGCUCCUAGUACGAGAGGACCGGAGUGGACGCAUCACUGGUGUUCGGGUUGUCAUGCCAAUGGCACUGCCCGGUAGCUAAAUGCGGAAGAGAUAAGUGCUGAAAGCAUCUAAGCACGAAACUUGCCCCGAGAUGAGUUCUCCCUGAGACUUAAAGUCUCCUGAAGGAACGUUGAAGACGACGACGUUGAUAGGCCGGGUGUGUAAGCGCAGCGAUGCGUUGAGCUAACCGGUACUAAUGAACCGUGAGGCUUAACCUU
This 2650-nucleotide ribosomal RNA is filed under the name Salmonella enterica subsp. enterica serovar Derby. Its description in RNAcentral is "bacterial LSU rRNA". The stretch from base 760 to 2650 matches the Rfam family "Bacterial large subunit ribosomal RNA". Lineage: Bacteria; Pseudomonadati; Pseudomonadota; Gammaproteobacteria; Enterobacterales; Enterobacteriaceae. The record is from RNAcentral.